CACUUUCAACAACGGAUCUCUUGGCUCUCGCAUCGAUGAAGAACGUAGCGAAGUGCGAUAAGUAAUGUGAAUUGCAAAAUUCCGUGAAUCAUCGAAUCUUUGAACGCAAAUUGCACUCUCUGGCAACCCGGGGAGUAUGCCUGUUUGAGGGUCAGU
Molecule: ribosomal RNA, 156 nt
Filed under: uncultured Glomus
Lineage: Eukaryota; Fungi; Glomeromycota; Glomeromycetes; Glomerales; Glomeraceae
Description: 5.8S ribosomal RNA
Rfam family: 5.8S ribosomal RNA
About the family: 5.8S ribosomal RNA (5.8S rRNA) is a component of the large subunit of the eukaryotic ribosome. It is transcribed by RNA polymerase I as part of the 45S precursor that also contains 18S and 28S rRNA.
Source: RNAcentral